UACGUAGGGUGCAAGCGUUAAUCGGAAUUACUGGGCGUAAAGCGUGCGCAGGCGGUGAUGUAAGGCAGGUGUGAAAUCCCCGGGCUUAACCUGGGAACUGCAUUUGUGACUGCAUCGCUGGAGUGCGGCAGAGGGGGAUGGAAUUCCGCGUGUAGCAGUGAAAUGCGUAGAUAUGCGGAGGAACACCGAUGGCGAAGGCAAUCCCCUGGGCCUGCACUGACGCUCAUGCACGAAAGCGUGGGGAGCAAACAGG
RNAcentral lists this ribosomal RNA (253 nucleotides) under uncultured bacterium. RNAcentral describes it as "partial 16S ribosomal RNA". It matches the Rfam family "Bacterial small subunit ribosomal RNA", at positions 524 to 776 of the family's 1533-position model. The record is from RNAcentral.